UGUGUGUGUGUGUGUGUGUGUAGGAGGUUUAGCAGGCCUGACUUAAGACCGAACCCUGACGGUGUUUAGGCAUGGUCCGGUUGGAGAGCUUAUUUCCAGCGUUGGAGGUCUUUUCAGUUUUUCUAAAGACUUGUCCAAGUUAAACCACAAGAAUGUCAUGGGCUUGCUUGGCUACCACGGAGAAGGG
This is a long non-coding RNA of Triticum aestivum (bread wheat), 187 nucleotides long. RefSeq lists it as uncharacterized. The record is from RefSeq and is a predicted model, not a curated record. NCBI's taxonomy places the organism in Eukaryota, Viridiplantae, Streptophyta, Magnoliopsida, Poales, Poaceae. The transcript has 3 exons.